RNAcentral lists this ribosomal RNA (422 nucleotides) under uncultured archaeon. RNAcentral describes it as "partial 16S ribosomal RNA". It matches the Rfam family "Archaeal small subunit ribosomal RNA", at positions 323 to 746 of the family's 1478-position model. The record is from RNAcentral.
CUACGGGGGGCAGCAGGCGCGAAACCUCUACAAUGCACGAAAGUGUGAUAGGGGGAUUCUCAGUGCUCAAGUUAUGCUUGGGCUUUUGCCAAGAGUAAGUAUCUUGGAGAAUAAGUGGUGGGCAAGACCGGUGCCAGCCGCCGCGGUAAUACCGGCGCCACAAGUGGCAAUCACGAUUAUUGGGCCUAAAGCGUUCGUAGCCGGUUUAGUAAAUUCUUUGUGAAAUCGUACAGCUCAACUGUACGGCGUGCAGGGAACACUGCUAAACUAGAGACCGGGAGGAGUCAGAGGUAUGCUGGGGGGACCGGUAAAAUGGGAUAAUCCUCAGUAGACCACCGAUGGCGAAGGCAUCUGACCAGAACGGAUCUGACGGUGAGGGACGAAAGCCAGGGGAGCGAUCCGGAUUAGAUACCCCGGUAGUC